GGGCCCGCACAAGCGGUGGAGCAUGUGGUUUAAUUCGAUGAUACGCGAGGAACCUUACCAGGGUUUAAAUGCAGAACGACAGGGGUGGAAACACCCCCUUCUUCGGACGGACUGCAAGGUGCUGCAUGGUUGUCGUCAGCUCGUGCUGUGAAGUGUCGGGUUAAGUCCCAUAACGAGCGCAACCCCAUUUCUAGUUGCCAGCGGUUCGGCCGGGACUCUAGAGAAACUGCCAGCGUAAGCUGUGAGGAAGUGGGGAUGACGUCAAAUCAUCACGGCCCUUACAUCCUGGGCCACACACGUGCUACAAUGGUGGGGACAACAGGUUGCCAACCCGCGAGGUGAGCCAAUCCCAAAACCCCAUCUC
This 364-nucleotide ribosomal RNA is filed under the name uncultured bacterium. RNAcentral's name for it is "bacterial SSU rRNA". It matches the Rfam family "Bacterial small subunit ribosomal RNA", at positions 917 to 1289 of the family's 1533-position model. The record is from RNAcentral.